ACCGGAGAAUGUUAUCACGGGAGACACACGGCGGGUGCUAACGUCCGUCGUGAAGAGGGAAACAACCCAGACCGCCAGCUAAGGUCCCAAAGUCAUGGUUAAGUGGGAAACGAUGUGGGAAGGCCCAGACAGCCAGGAUGUUGGCUUAGAAGCAGCCAUCAUUUAAAGAAAGCGUAAUAGCUCACUGGUCGAGUCGGCCUGCGCGGAAGAUGUAACGGGGCUAAACCAUGCACCGAAGCUGCGGCAGCGACACUCAGGUGUUGUUGGGUAGGGGAGCGUUCUGUAAGYCUGYGAAGGUGGCCUGUGAGGGUUGCUGGAGGUAUCAGAAGUGCGAAUGCUGACAUAAGUAACGAUAAAGCGGGUGAAAAGCCCGCUCGCCGGAAGACCAAGGGUUCCUGUCCAACGUUAAUCGGGGCAGGGUGAGUCGACCCCUAAGGCGAGGCCGAAAGGCGUAGUCGAUGGGAAACGGGUUAAUAUUCCCGUACUUGGUGUUACUGCGAAGGGGGGACGGAGAAGGCUAUGUUGGCCGGGCGACGGUUG
Molecule: ribosomal RNA, 540 nt
Filed under: Salmonella enterica subsp. enterica serovar Infantis
Lineage: Bacteria; Pseudomonadati; Pseudomonadota; Gammaproteobacteria; Enterobacterales; Enterobacteriaceae
Description: partial 23S ribosomal RNA
Source: RNAcentral